Molecule: non-coding RNA, 911 nt
Organism: Oryctolagus cuniculus (rabbit)
Lineage: Eukaryota; Metazoa; Chordata; Mammalia; Lagomorpha; Leporidae
Source: RefSeq, a predicted model, not a curated record
ACUUUGAGAAGCUUACCUUCAAUUAAGAAUUAAAGUUGUUAUUACUCCCUUGAUAGAUGUGCUGAGUGCUCUAAAAAGCACACUAACAUAAUCAGGAAGGCCAAGUUUCUGAUGAAGUCACAAAUGGAGGAUGCAUAAUCAUCUGAAAUUACAUUGAACCCCACUUACUGUAAAAGAGGUGAAAAAUGAAACAACAUUGAUAUACUGUUUUUUUACUUGUUUAGGUUGGAAAAAUCCAAAAGUUUGACAAUAUAUUUUGUACCUGAGAGGAAGUAAUUGUUCUCAUCUAUUGCUGUGAAAUAACAAAAUGGUAAAAUAGCAAUUUGGAUGAGUCCUCCACAAGAUUAAAAGGAAAAGACUCAUUUUCAGCAGAGACACUCUUCAGAUUCCCCAGGAAAGUGCAAUUGGAGCAAUACGUUUGGGAAUCUUUUCCAUGGAGUUACAAACACAAGUCAAUAAUUCAGAGGACAAUUGGAGUUUCCUCAGAACUGUUCAAAUUUUCAGAAUUGAGAAUACAAAAGGAUAACUUGACAAAUCAGGAACACAAAAUACUUCUCUCCUUUUGAUUGAUAUAACACAUCUGCAAGCCUUCACCCAAUCUUCGGAAUAGAUUCCCAUUUCAAACAAAGGAAACAGAAGAAUCUUAUUCCUCCACCAAAGAGACUCAAAGGAAGAGAUUCUUCUCCUAAAAUAUAUGGUCCUUAUAUUAUCCAGCAACUUGUAUGAUUGAACAUGUUAAUCAAAUACUUAAAUGAGAGCAACUCUUUAUGAACCUUGAGAAAAAAGAAUCAAGAUUGUUAAGGGAUAUCUAUGAGCAAUUCAUUAACAUGUUCAGUGGAAAAGUCAAACUUCGGAUGUGUGGACUCUAAAGAAACAGUUCAUCUCUCAACAAAAUACUGAUAUAGCAAAGA